ACGAGGGGGGCAAGCGUUGUUCGGAAUUAUUGGGCGUAAAGGGCGCGUAGGCGGUGCGGUAAGUCACCUGUGAAAACUCUGGGCUCAACUCAGAGCCUGCAGGCGAAACUGCCGUGCUUGAGUGUGGGAGAGGUGCGUGGAAUUCCCGGUGUAGCGGUGAAAUGCGUAGAUAUCAGGAGGAACACCGGUGGCGAAGGCGGGACUCUGGGCCGAUACUGACGCUGAGGAGCGAAAGCGUGGGGAGCAAACAGGA
This 253-nucleotide ribosomal RNA is filed under the name uncultured prokaryote. RNAcentral describes it as "partial 16S ribosomal RNA". It matches the Rfam family "Bacterial small subunit ribosomal RNA", at positions 525 to 777 of the family's 1533-position model. The record is from RNAcentral.